Molecule: ribosomal RNA, 381 nt
Filed under: uncultured bacterium
Lineage: Bacteria
Description: bacterial SSU rRNA
Rfam family: Bacterial small subunit ribosomal RNA
Source: RNAcentral
GUAGUCCACGCCCUAAACGAUGGAUACUAGGCGUCGGGGGUAUCGACCCCCCCGGUGCCGCAGCAAACGCAUUAAGUAUCCCGCCUGGGGAGUACGGCCGCAAGGUUGAAACUCAAAUGAAUUGACGGGGACCCGCACAAGCGGUGGAGCAUGUGGAUUAAUUCGAUACUAACCGAAGAACCUUACCCACUCUUGACAUUGAAGGAAAGCUCUAGAGAUAGAGCCCUCUCUCACAAGGAGACCUGAAAACAGAUGUUGCAUGGCUGUCGUCAGCUCGUGCCGUGAGGUGUACGGUUAAGUCCGCCAACGAGCGCAACCCUCGUUCUGUGUUACCAGCGAGUAAUGUCGGGCACUCACAGGAGACCGCCGGUGUAAGCCGGA